GAGGGUGUAGCUCAAGUGGUAGAGCCCAUGCCUAGCAAGCCUGAGGUCCUGGGUUCAAUCCCCAGUACCUCCA
RNAcentral lists this transfer RNA (73 nucleotides) under Camelus bactrianus (Bactrian camel). It matches the Rfam family "tRNA". From Rfam's summary of the family: Transfer RNA (tRNA) molecules are approximately 80 nucleotides in length. Their secondary structure includes four short double-helical elements and three loops (D, anti-codon, and T loops). The record is from Rfam by way of RNAcentral. RNAcentral also lists the same sequence under 2 other names. Lineage: Eukaryota; Metazoa; Chordata; Mammalia; Artiodactyla; Camelidae.